Non-coding RNA from Biomphalaria pfeifferi, 257 nucleotides. The record is from the annotation of a GenBank genome assembly. NCBI's taxonomy places the organism in Eukaryota, Metazoa, Mollusca, Gastropoda, Planorbidae.
AUUUUGGUUUACAAUGUAUUUUAUUGUGAACAAAUCUGGGGUUGGUAUACAUCCCUUCACAACCUGACAUCAAUCUUACAGCAAAGACAGUAAUAAAACCUUUACAAUAAAUAGCUUAUUCCAGUCACACAGUUACAUGUUCUAGAUCAACUUAAAUAAUACAUACAAAAAUAUAAAUGCAUAAAGUUUGUAAAAAUUGAUAUUAUGAAUGAACAAAAAACAUUUUUAUCCACAAUGAAUUGCCAGAUAAAAAACAA